This 495-nucleotide ribosomal RNA is filed under the name uncultured bacterium. Its description in RNAcentral is "partial 16S ribosomal RNA". It matches the Rfam family "Bacterial small subunit ribosomal RNA", at positions 30 to 507 of the family's 1533-position model. The record is from RNAcentral.
UGACCGCUGGCGGCGUGCCUCAUACAUGCAAGUCGAGCGAACGGACGAGAAGCUUGCUUUUCUGAUGUUAGCGGCGGACGGGUGAGUAACACGUGGAUAACCUACCUAUAAGACUGGGAUAACUUCGGGAAACCGGAGCUAAUACCGGAUAAUAUUUUGAACCGCAUGGUUCACAAGUGAAAGACGGUCUUGCUGUCACUUAUAGAUGGAUCCGCGCUGCAUUAGCUAGUUGGUAAGGUAACGGCUUACCAAGGCAACGAUGCAUAGCCGACCUGAGAGGGUGAUCGGCCACACUGGAACUGAGACACGGUCCAGACUCCUACGGGAGGCAGCAGUAGGGAAUCUUCCGCAAUGGGCGAAAGCCUGACGGAGCAACGCCGCGUGAGUGAUGAAGGUCUUCGGAUCGUAAAACUCUGUUAUUAGGGAAGAACAUAUGUGUAAGUAACUGUGCACAUCUUGACGGUACCUAAUCAGAAAGCCACGGCUAACUACGUG